UUGGGGUCUAUGAGAUAAAGAAAUCUAUGGGGUUCUAUGGGGUCUAUGGGGUGAGGAGUCUAUGGGGUCUAUGGGGUCUGUGGGAUAAGGAAUCUAUGGGGUCUAUGGGGUCUAUGGGGUGAGGAGUCUAUGGGGUCUAUGGGGUCUAUGGGAUAAGGAAUCUAUGGGGUCUAUGGGGUCUGUGGGGUGAGGAGUCUAUGUGGAUCUAAAUGGGGUACUAUGGGAUAGAGGAAUCUAUGGGGUCUAUUGGGGUUCCCUAUGGUGUGAGG
This 269-nucleotide long non-coding RNA is filed under the name Coturnix japonica (Japanese quail). Its description in RNAcentral is "lncRNA (ENSCJPG00005002616.1)". The record is from RNAcentral. Lineage: Eukaryota; Metazoa; Chordata; Aves; Galliformes; Phasianidae.